This 751-nucleotide ribosomal RNA is filed under the name uncultured Trebouxia photobiont. Its description in RNAcentral is "eukaryotic LSU rRNA". The stretch from base 304 to 457 matches the Rfam family "5.8S ribosomal RNA". The record is from RNAcentral. Lineage: Eukaryota; Viridiplantae; Chlorophyta; Trebouxiophyceae; Trebouxiales; Trebouxiaceae.
UCCGUAGGUGAACCUGCGGAAGGAUCAUUGAAUCUAUCGUGCCCACACCGCGAAACUACUUAUGCCCUUCUGGAACAGGCAAACUUUAUUGUUUGCCCUUCAGUUGCGCAGGUCAGGGGCUGGCUCCUUUUGGUGUCAGUUGACUUGACUGGGCGGGUCCAAUACCAGCCGGAUUCACCUUGCCUUCUAGGCUUGGGGUUCUGCCGGCUGUGAGGGRUGGCUGUUUAACUCACUUUAAGCAAUCAAUUCUGAAGGCAGAUCUAUAGGCUGGCUAUGCUGGCUGUAGUCUGAUUAAAUAUAGACAACUCUCAACAACGGAUAUCUUGGCUCCCGUAACGAUGAAGAACGCAGCGAAAUGCGAUACGUAGUGUGAAUUGCAGAAUUCCGUGAACCAUCGAAUCUUUGAACGCAAAUUGCGCUCGAGGCCUCGGCCAAGAGCAUGUCUGCCUCAGCGUCGGCUACUACCCUCAACUAAGUUUCCUAUACACAUAGGGGAUGCCGGUUGGAUCUGGCCGUCCGGUUUGCCUUUUAGGUUGCCGGUCAGCUGAAAUACAUUCACGCUCUGGGGGCUGCUUUCCUUCCGAGGAGAGGCGAGUUCCGAUUUGGUAGGUGACCUUUGCCGGUUGCAUGCCUUCGUUGCCCGCUAAGCUUUCCAGUAUGCGUUGUGCAGGACGCCUUUUGGCUUUCGACCUGAGGUCAGGCAAGAACACCCGCUGAACUUAAGCAUAUCAAUAAGCGGAGGAAAAGAAAC